CCUACGGGUGGCAGCAGUAGGGAAUAUUGCUCAAUGGGGGAAACCCUGAAGCAGCAACGCCGCGUGGAGGAUGAAGGCUUUCGGAUUGUAAACUUCUUUUGUUAGAGAAGAGAAUGACGGUAUCUAACGAAUAAGCACCGGCUAACUCCGUGCCAGCAACCGCGGUAAUACGGAGGGUGCAAGCGUUACUCGGAAUGACUGGGCGUAAAGGGCGCGUAGGCGGGAUAGCAAGUCAGAUGUGAAAUCCUAUGGCUUAACCAUAGAACUGCAUUUGAAACUGUUAUUCUAGAGUAUGGGAGAGGUAGGUGGAAUUCUUGGUGUAGGGGUGAAAUCCGUAGAGAUCAAGAAGAAUACUCAUUGCGAAGGCGACCUGCUAGAACAUAACUGACGCUGAUGCGCGAAAGCGUGGGGAGCAAACAGGAUUAGAUACCCUUGUAGUC
This 440-nucleotide ribosomal RNA is filed under the name uncultured bacterium. Its description in RNAcentral is "partial 16S ribosomal RNA". It matches the Rfam family "Bacterial small subunit ribosomal RNA", at positions 338 to 795 of the family's 1533-position model. The record is from RNAcentral.